ACGGGGUGCAGCAGGCGCGAAAACUUUACAAUGCGGGAAACCGUGAUAAGGGAACACCGAGUGCCAGCAUCAUAUGCUGGCUGUCCAGAUGUGUAAACUACAUCUGUUAGCAAGGGCCGGGCAAGACCGGUGCCAGCCGCCGCGGUAACACCGGCGGCCCGAGUGGUGACCGUUAUUAUUGGGUCUAAAGGGUCCGUAGCCGGUUUGGUCAGUCCUCCGGGAAAUCUGAUAGCUCAACUAUUAGACUUUCGGGGGAUACUACCAGGCUUGGAACCGGGAGAGGUAAGAGGUACUACAGGGGUAGGAGUGAAAUCUUGUAAUCCCUGUGAGACCACCUGUGGCGAAGGCGUCUUACCAGAACGGGUUCGACGGUGAGGGACGAAAGCUGGGGGCACGAACCGGAUUAGAUACCCGGGUAGUCCCAGCCGUAAACUAUGCUCGCUAGGUGUCAGGCAUGGCGCGACCGUGUCUGGUGCCGCAGGGAAGCCGUGAAGCGAGCCACCUGGGAAGUACGGCCGCAAGGCUGAAACUUAAAGGAAUUGGCGGGGGAGCAC
Molecule: ribosomal RNA, 554 nt
Filed under: uncultured Methanosarcina sp.
Lineage: Archaea; Methanobacteriati; Methanobacteriota; Methanomicrobia; Methanosarcinales; Methanosarcinaceae
Description: bacterial SSU rRNA
Rfam family: Archaeal small subunit ribosomal RNA
Source: RNAcentral